GAUGAGAUUUCCCAUUCCGCAAGGAAGUAAGAUCCCUGAAAGAUGAUCAGGUUGAUAGGUCUGAGGUGGAAGUGUGGCGACACAUGGAGCUGACAGAUACUAAUCGAUCGAGGACUUAACCAA
This 123-nucleotide ribosomal RNA is filed under the name Bacillus velezensis. RNAcentral's name for it is "partial 23S ribosomal RNA". It matches the Rfam family "Bacterial large subunit ribosomal RNA", at positions 2803 to 2925 of the family's 2925-position model. The record is from RNAcentral. Lineage: Bacteria; Bacillati; Bacillota; Bacilli; Caryophanales; Bacillaceae.